This 509-nucleotide ribosomal RNA is filed under the name uncultured Pseudomonadota bacterium. RNAcentral's name for it is "bacterial SSU rRNA". It matches the Rfam family "Bacterial small subunit ribosomal RNA", at positions 355 to 857 of the family's 1533-position model. The record is from RNAcentral. Lineage: Bacteria; Pseudomonadati; Pseudomonadota.
UGGGGAAUUUUGGACAAUGGGCGCAAGCCUGAUCCAGCCAUGCCGCGUGAGUGAAGAAGGCCUUCGGGUUGUAAAGCUCUUUCGGCGGGGACGAAACGGUCCGUGCUAACACCACGGACUAAUGACGGUACUCGCAGAAGAAGCACCGGCUAACUACGUGCCAGCAGCCGCGGUAAUACGUAGGGUGCAGGCGUUAAUCGGAAUUACUGGGCGUAAAGCGUGCGCAGGCGGCUCCUUAAGUCAGAUGUGAAAGCCCCGGGCUUAACCUGGGAACUGCGUUUGAAACUGGGGAGCUAGAGUGUGGAAGAGGGGGGUGGAAUUCCAGGUGUAGCAGUGAAAUGCGUAGAGAUCUGGAGGAACACCGAUGGCGAAGGCAGCCCCCUGGGCUAACACUGACGCUCAUGCACGAAAGCGUGGGGAGCAAACAGGAUUAGAUACCCUGGUAGUCCACGCCCUAAACGAUGUCAACUAGUUGUCGGGGAAGCAAUUCCUUGGUAACGAAGCUAACG